GACAUUGUGACAUAUAUCUAGGCAAAUUGCCUAGAAGUGAAUCCCCUCUCCUGCUUAAGUCCUUCCCACAGAGAGCGGUUUGAUAUGUCACUGAAACCAGCAUCCAGGUGGUAUUGCUCCAUAUGCCUGAGACCCUAACAAAAGCCUAAUUACAACUCAUAUGCCUGGAGCCAGGACAUGUGCAGGAUGACUCUGCCAAGAGAGGGGAUUAUUACAUAUUGCAGAGCCCAGCACCUAGGUGGAGUGACUCUCAUCUUUUUCUUCUACCCCGUAUAUAGCCAGCUUGGUGACCUACUAUUUGAGUCUAUACCCAGGCCCAGACCACAGAUGAAAUUGUGCAAUAUGUGGAACAAACACCUAAACAAUAUAUAACACCUUCCUUGGCUCUGUCUACAAAGGGCACUUUUAUAUAUCACUGGGACCAUCAACCAGGUGAUGUUGUGCCAUAUAACUGAGACCGUAUCAAAAGCCUAAUAACAAGACGUAUGUCUGGAGCCCCGAUAUGCACAGGAUGGUGAUAUAACCCUCUUCUCUGGAAUGGGCCCCACACAAAGGAAGGAUAGUGACAUAUUGCAAGCCCAGGCACACAGGCCCAGAGCACAGUUGAAAUUGUGACAUAUGUACACCAAGCAACCAAGCAAUGUAUAACACCUCAUUUGGCAAUGGAAUCGAGGGCACUUUUACAUAUCACUGAGACCAGCGCCCAGCUGAUGUGAAAUAUUGGCCUGAACCCUGCCUACAAAAGCAUUGUGGCUUUUAUCUAGCUCCAUUACAUAAGUGAUGUGACUUCCUUCUACUGCCUUGGCCCUGCACUUAUGGUGAAUCGUGACACAAAAUUGGGUAGAGCAACCAGCCUGGGCCCUGACCAGCACAGAGAUUGAGGCAUAUUGCUGAACCCAGGACCAAGAUGAAGUCACUCUCCUGCCUUGAUCCUGCACACAGGGACCCUUGUGACAUAUAUACAGGCCAAUUGCCUAGGUAAAGUUUGUCUCCUCUCCUGCCUAAGCCCUGCCCAUGGGGAGGAUUUAGAUAUAUCACUGAAACCAGCA
Molecule: long non-coding RNA, 1049 nt
Filed under: Homo sapiens (human)
Lineage: Eukaryota; Metazoa; Chordata; Mammalia; Primates; Hominidae
Description: long intergenic non-protein coding RNA 293
Source: RNAcentral